Molecule: non-coding RNA, 174 nt
Filed under: Zea mays
Lineage: Eukaryota; Viridiplantae; Streptophyta; Magnoliopsida; Poales; Poaceae
Source: RNAcentral
AACUUGCAAGCAGAUCUCAACUGGUGCGCGCGCACACACACGCACAGAUCUGAGCCACGCGCACAGGCAGUACUGCCCCCUUUCUUCUCCAAGUCCGGCCGGCUGAUCGGUCGUUAUGUAUAUGAACGUGGUGGUGGGGUUCUUUUUAUGGUGAGUGGUUUCGAGCUAGGUGGU